Molecule: long non-coding RNA, 637 nt
Filed under: Lonchura striata (white-rumped munia)
Lineage: Eukaryota; Metazoa; Chordata; Aves; Passeriformes; Estrildidae
Description: domestica (Bengalese finch) lncRNA (ENSLSDG00000010582.1)
Source: RNAcentral
AUGAAGAUCUCUUUCAACGAGACAAGUUUGCAGACGAUGUUUGAGUACCCGUCAGAGAGCUCCCUGGCAGAAGAGGAUGAGGAAGAGGAAGGACACGCUUUGGAGACAGAGGAAAAAUCUCGUACCUUUUAUAUUCCACGCCCAAACAGCACUUUGCAUCCCAGUACACCUAACUCAGAUUUAUCCAGCUACACCCCAAAGCACUCUGUGAAAUUCAGCGAGUGGCAGGAGCAGAAGUAUGAGGGUCCUGCUGCAGUGGGAUCUCUCCCAAAGGAAGCUGAUUCCCAUGGGAACCAAGUCAUGGUGAGGCUAUAAAUAACCAACUCUUGUGCUUCCUUGUGGGGUGGGGGUUGUUCCAGGCAGUGGAUGGGACAGGAUGUGCCUUCCCCUGCACACCUGUGUUUGUGUUGCUCCCCAGGGAGCUGUGUCACUGCUCCCAAAGGGACCAACACACUGUCCCACUGCCACUACCACACCUGCCCCUCCCUGGCUGCGUGAAGGAAACUCAGGGCAGCUGGCACACUCUGUGCUCAGCGGGAAAGGCAUGGAUGUUUUGGAAGAAGUCCAGAGGGAGGCCAGAGAGAUGCUUCAUGGGUUGAAGCCCCUCUGCUCUGGAGCCAGGCUGGGAGAGCUGGGG